Small nuclear RNA from Rhipicephalus microplus (southern cattle tick), 198 nucleotides. RefSeq annotates it as U2 spliceosomal RNA. The record is from RefSeq and is a predicted model, not a curated record. Lineage: Eukaryota; Metazoa; Arthropoda; Arachnida; Ixodida; Ixodidae.
CAUUAUUCGGCUCCAUUGUAGCAGAUGCCGAUCGAAGUGUUGUAUCUGUUCUUAUCAGCUUAAUAUCUGAUGGGGAUCCUAUUUCGAUCCAAGAUAUUAAACUUAUUUUUGUAAUGCGGCGGAGUGCUUGAAGCUUGCUUGACCUCCGCCACGGGUUGGCCCAGGUAUUGCACUACCUCCGGAAUCGGCCCACUCACG